CUCAAAAACAGUCAAUUUGGCUCUAGAUUGAGUUUGGAGAACUCUACCCAAAGAGUAACUUUUACUCUUUUUAGAGAAGGACCAAAUAUUAUCUGAGUAGAGUCAAAUUUUCUUCAAUUUGGGUAAAUUUUACUCAGGCUAAUUUCCUUUUAGUUCAGUAUUAUUAUUA
Molecule: long non-coding RNA, 169 nt
Organism: Sphaeramia orbicularis (orbiculate cardinalfish)
Lineage: Eukaryota; Metazoa; Chordata; Actinopteri; Kurtiformes; Apogonidae
Exons: 3
Source: RefSeq, a predicted model, not a curated record